CAGAACACUAAGCCGAAUUCCAUUUCGCCCCAUGGCGGGAAUGGAAGCCGGGGAACCGAGAACGUUUCCUGGGGUGAAAGGGAAGCAAGGAGCGCGCGUAGAGCGUGCCGGAGCAACCCGAGGUGAAUUCCUGCACCGAACCCGACAGCUAACCCGGUAGGCGUCACUGGAAGAUAUU
RNAcentral lists this small RNA (178 nucleotides) under Corynebacterium appendicis. Its description in RNAcentral is "c-di-AMP sequence". It matches the Rfam family "c-di-AMP riboswitch aptamer (ydaO/yuaA leader)". Rfam says of the family: This family represents a conserved RNA structure found upstream of the ydaO and yuaA genes in Bacillus subtilis and related genes in other bacteria. The ydaO/yuaA element is thought to act as a genetic "off" switch for the ydaO and yuaA genes in its native state. The record is from RNAcentral. RNAcentral also lists the same sequence under 1 other name. Lineage: Bacteria; Bacillati; Actinomycetota; Actinomycetes; Mycobacteriales; Corynebacteriaceae.